This 447-nucleotide ribosomal RNA is filed under the name Triticum aestivum (bread wheat). RNAcentral describes it as "partial small subunit ribosomal RNA". Lineage: Eukaryota; Viridiplantae; Streptophyta; Magnoliopsida; Poales; Poaceae. The record is from RNAcentral.
CGCUGAUGUUUGAUGCCGUGUCAAGCAUCCGACGAACCCCCCCGAUGGAUAAGAGCACCCCGACGCCUCUGGACAAACCCUCGCCCCGUUCCCCCCUCUCCGUCGCUCGUCCUCUUCUGUGCAACGCGCGCAGCCGCAGCCGUUGCCACGGCCUUGCCGUCCGCGUGGCCAACGUCGUCCCCGCGCCAAAUUAGCUUGUUCCCCCGGCUCCCCCUUCGUCGUCUACAUCACCUACGAGGACCAGCUCGAGCCCCCUCGCGCUGCAUCGCCUGGAUCGAGUCAUCUUCUACCUCCGGUCGCCACUCAUCGCCGCUUCGAUUUGUCGCCUCCAAGCCUUCCCCGAGCUUGCUUUGCACCUCUACAGGUUCGCGGCUCUGAGACCGUUGCCGAUACCCCUGUGAUCGACUACAUCGACGACGACCCCUUCUUCUUGCCAGAGCAACCAGG